GUCUACGGCCAUACCACUCUGAACGCGCCCGAUCUCGUCUGAUCUCGGAAGCUAAGCAGGGUCGGGCCUGGUUAGUACUUGGAUGGGAGAAAAUUACUAAAUAAAUAACAGUACAGUUGGUU
Molecule: ribosomal RNA, 122 nt
Filed under: Myotis davidii
Lineage: Eukaryota; Metazoa; Chordata; Mammalia; Chiroptera; Vespertilionidae
Source: RNAcentral